GAAUUUGUCGGUUGGUCGGGCUUUAUUGUCCGCACUGGCCCGAUGGAAUCCUACCUUCUGAAUAACCAGCAUGCUAUUAAUUUAGUGCGUUGGGGAAGCAGAGCUAUUACCUUGAAAAAAUUAGAGUGUUUAAAGCAGGCAUUUUUGCUUGAAUACAUUAGCAUGGAAUAAUAAAAUAGGACGGCUUGGUUCUAUUUUGUUGGUUUCUAGGAUCACCGUA
Molecule: ribosomal RNA, 220 nt
Filed under: Glomeromycotina sp. MIB 8822
Lineage: Eukaryota; Fungi; Glomeromycota
Description: partial small subunit ribosomal RNA
Rfam family: Eukaryotic small subunit ribosomal RNA (bases 52-220)
Source: RNAcentral